GCCGUGUGAUGAAAUUCAGUCUGAAUAAGUCAAGUAUGAGACUUAAAUUAAAGAAAUGAUAAGCAAAGAACUUUAAAUGUACAAAAGUAAGCAGUCGAGAGUGUUACUACUGUAAACAAACAAAAUAACAUGGCUGCUUCCAGGAGAUUCACGAACUUUACCAAACAGAGACAUUUCACCUUUUUAAAGUCUUCAGUUUUUUAUUCUACAAAUGUAACCACUCGACCUAGU
Non-coding RNA from Parasteatoda tepidariorum (common house spider), 231 nucleotides. NCBI's taxonomy places the organism in Eukaryota, Metazoa, Arthropoda, Arachnida, Araneae, Theridiidae. The record is from RefSeq and is a predicted model, not a curated record.